Molecule: ribosomal RNA, 497 nt
Filed under: uncultured bacterium
Lineage: Bacteria
Description: partial 16S ribosomal RNA
Rfam family: Bacterial small subunit ribosomal RNA
Source: RNAcentral
GAUGAACGCUGGCGGCGUGCCUAAUACAUGCAAGUCGAGCGAACAGACGAGGAGCUUGCUCCUCUGACGUUAGCGGCGGACGGGUGAGUAACACGUGGAUAACCUACCUAUAAGACUGGGAUAACUUCGGGAAACCGGAGCUAAUACCGGAUAAUAUCUUGAACCGCAUUGUUCAAUAGUGAAAGACGGCUUUGCGGUCACUUAUAGAUGGAUCCGCGCCACAUUAGCUAGUUGGUAAGGUAACGGCUUACCAAGGCAACGAUGCGUAGCCGACCUGAGGGGGUGAUCGGCCACCCUGGAACGGAGACACGGUCCAGACUCCUACGGGAGGCAGCAGUAGGGAAUCUUCCGCAAUGGGCGAAAGCCUGACGGAGCAACGCCGCGUGAGUGAUGAAGGUCUUCGGAUCGUAAAACUCUGUUAUUAGGGAAGAACAAAUGUGUAAGUAACUAUGCACGUCUUGACGGUACCUAAUCAGAAAGCCACGGCUAACUACGUG